GGGCUCAUGGCUCAGUGGUAGAGCGUUUCGUUGACAUCGAAAAGGUCGCAGGUUCGAUCCCUGCUGAGCCCA
Molecule: transfer RNA, 72 nt
Filed under: Patescibacteria group bacterium
Lineage: Bacteria
Description: tRNA-Val
Rfam family: tRNA
About the family: Transfer RNA (tRNA) molecules are approximately 80 nucleotides in length. Their secondary structure includes four short double-helical elements and three loops (D, anti-codon, and T loops).
Source: RNAcentral